This is a small nucleolar RNA of Ornithorhynchus anatinus (platypus), 136 nucleotides long. Lineage: Eukaryota; Metazoa; Chordata; Mammalia; Monotremata; Ornithorhynchidae. The record is from RefSeq and is a predicted model, not a curated record.
UCCCUCUCAGGGUCGCACCUGGAGAGUUUCCAGUACUCUACCAGUCUCAGCGAUGGGAGGAACAGUCAAGCAGAGGCAUACUCAUUCCGUUCCCAGCUUGGCCAGUGGCUAGUGAGUGGAAGGAUCUGCUACGAGG